This 487-nucleotide ribosomal RNA is filed under the name uncultured bacterium. Its description in RNAcentral is "bacterial SSU rRNA". It matches the Rfam family "Bacterial small subunit ribosomal RNA", at positions 30 to 517 of the family's 1533-position model. The record is from RNAcentral.
AUUGAACGCUGGCGGCAUGCUUUACACAUGCAAGUCGAACGGUAACAGGCCUUCGGGUGCUGACGAGUGGCGAACGGGUGAGUAAUAUAUCGGAACGUACCUUUCAGUGGGGGAUAACGUAGCGAAAGUUGCGCUAAUACCGCAUAUUCUGUGAGCAGGAAAGCAGGGGAUCGCAAGACCUUGCGCUGAUUGAGCGGCCGAUAUCAGAUUAGCUAGUUGGUGAGGUAAAGGCUCACCAAGGCGACGAUCUGUAGCGGGUCUGAGAGGAUGAUCCGCCACACUGGAACUGAGACACGGUCCAGACUCCUACGGGAGGCAGCAGUGAGGAAUAUUGGUCAAUGGAGGCAACUCUGAACCAGCCAUGCCGCGUGUAGGACGAAUGCCCUCUGGGUUGUAAACUACUUUUAUUGGGGAAGAAACCCUCUUACGUGUAAGAGGCUGACGGUACCCAAGGAAUAAGGACCGGCUAACUCCGUGCCAGCAGCCG